RNAcentral lists this long non-coding RNA (321 nucleotides) under Triticum aestivum (bread wheat). RNAcentral's name for it is "long non-coding RNA (TAES_LNC028505)". Lineage: Eukaryota; Viridiplantae; Streptophyta; Magnoliopsida; Poales; Poaceae. The record is from RNAcentral.
AUUCAUCGGCUCCCUCUGUACCAGCUUUACCACAGGAACCCUACUACACACCAUCUGCCCAGACAACUGAAGCUAUUCAUCAGCAGUAUCAAGCCCCUCCAGUUCCACAGCCGCAGGCGCCUCCAGCACCACAGCAGCAGUAUCAAGCGCCUCCAGCUCCACCACAGCAGUAUCAAGCCCCUCCAGUUCCACAGGCACAUGCACCUCCAGCUCCACCACAGCAGUAUCAAGCCCCUCCAGUUCCACAGGCGCAGGCGCCUCCAGCUCCACCGCAACAGUAUCAAACCCCGUCUCAGUUUUCUCAAUAUUCACAACAACCUC